CACCAAUAGCGAAGAUCCACCCCCAGAUCGCCAUGCUGCUGCAGCUGCUGGUCCUGGCCUUGCUGGCCUGUUCGUUCGAGUCAGCCAGUGGCCAGUCUCCGUCGCCCAAUGACGAGCAGGGGCUGAAGCAGAUGGAGAAGGGGCUGCAGCAUGUGCAGGGCGUUGAUGGGGUUGGCCGGCAGAGCCGUGGCGAUCCCAACAGACGCGGUGAGGAGCAAGACGCUGGAAUUUCACAAGUCGUCUGAGGCAAACGGGGAUAUACCGCCCUCCCAGAAGAUCUUAUGGAGGUCGCAGGCGCAGAACCACCAGGUCGUCCAGUAGUUCGUCCACUUCCAGUUCCAGUUCCGACUGAUCUUCAUAGCCGGAUCUGGCUUUGAAAUUCUCAGAAGUCUGCAUGGCCGACGCUGCCUGUGACUCCCACUGACUCCCGCUGCUUGUGACUCCUACUGACUCCCGCUGCUUGUGACUCCCACUGUCCGGGCCAGCAGAACCAAAGGUGCAAUCGUGACGGAAAUCCCUUACUAUUCUUAUGCUUGAGGUGUUCGGUGACGGAUCCCUUUUCUAUGUAAGGCCUUGAAUGGCGAUGCCACGUGGAGGGCAGUCGGGCUUUUCUGAGAACUUACCCUUCGCAAACGCUUAUUUGGAUUUUUGGUAGACUAUCCAUAUUAAUGUGUGUUGUUGGAGAACAUUUGGAAGAAUCGUGUCAAGCAAUGCUCAAAUGUUGCAGAGCCCCCUUCAAACUAUGGAAUCAUCCCAAUUUGAGUCUGAUUCGGUAAUAGAACAUUGCGUCGCGGGCCUCGGUAUGCUUCGAAGUGUAGCCUGCUCUUUCCUCCUCAGUGCUUGGCUCAAAUGGUGAAUUGUCAA
This is a long non-coding RNA of Pollicipes pollicipes, 864 nucleotides long. RefSeq lists it as uncharacterized. Lineage: Eukaryota; Metazoa; Arthropoda; Thecostraca; Pollicipedomorpha; Pollicipedidae. The transcript is spliced from 3 exons. The record is from RefSeq and is a predicted model, not a curated record.